UACGAAGGGGGCUAGCGUUGCUCGGAAUUACUGGGCGUAAAGGGCGCGUAGGCGGCCUUCUAAGUCGAACGUGAAAUCCCUGGGCUCAACCCAGGAACUGCGUCCGAUACUGGAAGGCUUGAAUCCGGGAGAGGGAUGCGGAAUUCCAGGUGUAGCGGUGAAAUGCGUAGAUAUCUGGAGGAACACCGGUGGCGAAGGCGGCAUCCUGGACCGGCAUUGACGCUGAGGCGCGAAAGCAUGGGGAGCGAACAGG
Molecule: ribosomal RNA, 253 nt
Filed under: uncultured bacterium
Lineage: Bacteria
Description: partial 16S ribosomal RNA
Rfam family: Bacterial small subunit ribosomal RNA
Source: RNAcentral